GGAGCUGGAGCUCAGUGGUAGAGUGCAUGCUUACCAUACACAAGGCCUUAGGUUCAACCCCAGCAUCACCA
RNAcentral lists this transfer RNA (71 nucleotides) under Mus musculus (house mouse). Its description in RNAcentral is "tRNA-Gly". Lineage: Eukaryota; Metazoa; Chordata; Mammalia; Rodentia; Muridae. The record is from RNAcentral.